GGAAGGAUCAUUACCGAGUUCUGGGUUCCUUCUCUUAGGGCCCGCUCUCCCACCCUUUGUGUAUCUUACCUUGUUGCUUUGGCGGGCCAGCGCCCCUAAAAAGGCGCGGCCGGCUCCCAUCCCGGGGGCUGGCAAGCGCCCGCCAGAGGAAUAUCAAACUCUUAUCAGUAAACGAUGAAGUCUGAUCGAAUAUAUUAAUAUUCUAAAACUUUCAACAACGGAUCUCUUGGUUCUGGCAUCGAUGAAGAACGCAGCGAAAUGCGAUAAGUAAUGUGAAUUGCAGAAUUCAGUGAAUCAUCGAAUCUUUGAACGCACAUUGCGCCCUAUGGUAUUCCGUAGGGCAUGCCUGUUCGAGCGUCAUUACAACCCUCAAGCUUUGCUUGGUAUUGGGCGUCGUCCCCCAAACGGACGUGCCUCAAAGACCUCGGCGGUGGCCUCUUUGCCUCAAGCGUAGUAAAACAACUCUCGCUUUGGAGUCGAAGGAGUCGCCCGCCGGACGAACCUUCUGAACUUUUUUCUCAAGGUUGACCUCGGAUCAGGUAGGGAUACCCGCUGAACUUAAGCAUAUCAAUAAGCGGAGGAAAAGAAACCAACAGGGAUUGCCUCAGUAACGGCGAGUGAAGCGGCAACAGCUCAAAUUUGAAAUCUGGCCCUUUCAGGGUCCGAGUUGUAAUUUGUAGAGGAUGCUUCGGCGAGGGCUCCCGUCUAAGUUCCCUGGAACGGGACGUCAUAGAGGGUGAGAAUCCCGUAUGUGAUGGGUUGCUCAAGCCAUGUGAAGCUCCUUCGACGAGUCGAGUUGUUUGGGAAUGCAGCUCUAAAUGGGAGGUAAAUUUCUUCUAAAGCUAAAUAUUGGCCAGAGACCGAUAGCGCACAAGUAGAGUGAUCGAAAGAUGAAAAGCACUUUGGAAAGAGAGUUAAAAAGUACGUGAAAUUGUUGAAAGGGAAGCGCUUGCAACCAGACUUGUUCGCAGUUGCUCAGCCGGUCUCCUGACCGGUGUACUCUUCUGCGUGCAGGCCAGCAUCAGUUCGGGCGGCCGGAUAAAGGCCCCAGGAAUGUAGCACUCUUCGGGGUGUGUUAUAGCCUGGGGUGGAAUGCGGUCAGCCUGGACUGAGGAUCUCGCUUCGGCAAGGAUGCUGGCGUAAUGGUUGUAAGCGGCCCGUCUUGAAACACGGACCAAGGAGUCUAACAUCUAUGCGAGUGUUUGGGUGUCAAACCCAUACGCGUAAUGAAAGUGAACGGAGGUGGGAACCCUCACGGGUGCACCAUCGACCGAUCCUGAUGUCUUCGGAUGGAUUUGAGUAAGAGCAUAGCUGUUGGGACCCGAAAGAUGGUGAACUAUGCCUGAAUAGGGUGAAGCCAGAGGAAACUCUGGUGGAGGCUCGCAGCGGUUCUGACGUGCAAAUCGAUCGUCAAAUUUGGGUAUAGGGGCGAAAGACUAAUCGAACCAUCUAGUAGCUGGUUCCUGC
RNAcentral lists this unclassified non-coding RNA (1467 nucleotides) under uncultured fungus. RNAcentral's name for it is "sequence contains 18S rRNA gene, ITS1, 5.8S rRNA gene, ITS2, 28S rRNA gene". The stretch from base 526 to 1467 matches the Rfam family "Eukaryotic large subunit ribosomal RNA", at positions 1 to 961 of the family's 3401-position model. Lineage: Eukaryota; Fungi. The record is from RNAcentral.